RNAcentral lists this ribosomal RNA (460 nucleotides) under uncultured bacterium. RNAcentral's name for it is "partial 16S ribosomal RNA". It matches the Rfam family "Bacterial small subunit ribosomal RNA", at positions 338 to 795 of the family's 1533-position model. The record is from RNAcentral.
CCUACGGGAGGCAGCAGUUAGGAAUAUUGGUCACUGGACGAGAGCCUGAACCAGCCAAGUAGCGUGAAGGAUGACUGCCCUAUGGGUUGUAAACUUCUUUUAUAAGGGAAUAAAAUGUUCCACGUGUGCGUUUUUGUAUGUACUUUAUGAAUAAGGAUCGGCUAACUCCGUGCCAGCAGCCGCGGUAAUACGGAGGAUCCGAGCGUUAUCCGGAUUUAUUGGGUUUAAAGGGAGCGUAGGUGGUUUGUUAAGUCAGUUGUGAAAGUUUGCGGCUCAACCGUAAAAUUGCAAUUGAAACUGGCAGUCUUGAGUACAGUAGAGGUAGGCGGAAUUCGUGGUGUAGCGGUGAAAUGCUUAGAUAUCACGAAGAACUCCGAUUGCGAAGGCAGCUUACUGGACUGCAACUGACACUGAGGCUCGAAAGUGUGGGUAUCAAACAGGAUUAGAUACCCGAGUAGUC